CACAAUCCUGCAAUGAGGAAGUGAGGAAAAAGAGUGAAAACAGGAACCGUGAGCCAUUCCCUUUCUGUGCACUAUUUCUCCUCUCCCUUUUUGCAGUCCCUUCCAGCAUCAAGGCUUGGAGCCAUCUCCAGCAGCCUGUGCCCUCCUUGGGCUGAGAGCAUGAACAGUUUGCCGGUGAUAAAUGCCGGUCUCCCCGCCCAGAGCCCCGGGGUCUGUUCUGCAUCCGAGCCCCAGCAAACAGAGACUCCGUGGCUGAGGAUUCCUGCAGUGGAAAGGCAGCAGUUUCAGCAGCUCAAGAGGCUUCCCCAGGCUGGAGCCCCUCCUGGUGCACCCAGAGUUCUCCACCCCAGGUUCCAGACCUGCAGCGUGUCAGGGUCACCCCUCAGCUCUGCUGGGAAAACAUCCCUGGAGCUGCUGCUGCAGCCAAAAUCCCCUUCCCCAGAAGCUGGGAGUGCCUGAGCAUCAUCUGGGCCAGUGCAAGUGAUGGUUUCUUUAUCACUUGGUGGAAUUUUUUGGGUAGGUUUCUUUUUUUGGUUGGUUCUCCUUUUGUUUUCCCCCAUAGUGAACUGUUACAGGGAAAGGAGGAGGAAGUAGGGGGACAUUCAGAUUUGCAGAAUUUGUCUUCCCAUGUCACUGUUACACGUGAGGGAGCCCUGCUCUCUCCCCAUGGCUCAGCACUUUCCCACCCAUGGGAAGGAGAGAAUUAAUCCCUUAUUUUGCUUGGCUUGUGGGCCGGUUCUUCUUUAUUUAUUAAACUGUCUUUAACUCA
Melospiza melodia melodia is the source of this 769-nucleotide long non-coding RNA. RefSeq lists it as uncharacterized. The record is from RefSeq and is a predicted model, not a curated record. The transcript has 2 exons. Lineage: Eukaryota; Metazoa; Chordata; Aves; Passeriformes; Passerellidae.